UGUUCCCUCUACAUUGGUUUUCCGCUUCUCCUGUUGAUAAUCAAAGAAGCACAUUUUCUUACAACAUUAUAGUAAGGGAGGUACGCUCAUUAGGAGCACCAAUCUGGAGAUGACAAAGAAUUCAAUGGAAGCCAGAAUUCAAUGGAAGCCGAGCAGCCAGCCAGCAGCCCUGCACCGCCUGGCUGUGUGACUUGUUGGCAGGGAGAUGACUAACACGUGGGCAGGAGGGCUGAACCGGGAGCCAGGCCUGGACCCCACGGAGAGCCUGCAGGAGGUCUCGGGAGAGUCUAAAGCUCUCAUAAGAGAGGAGUUUAAUAAGAUAACUCGGCUUUUAAGUAACAGAGGCAGCCUCCUGGCUUCUGGGCUUCGAAAGGGCUCACCCGCCAGGAGUAAUAACACAAGCAAUUACUGCACCUAGAAUAAUAGAGCUCAGCGGGAUCCGAGGACCCAGGUCUCCCCUCUCAUUCACCUACUCACAGGGGAAAGGAAUGCAAGGAAGAAAUGCCCCACUUUCCAUGAAGACCUGGGACAGUCCUAUUAGGCCUUUAGGCACGUUGCCUUCAACUGGUACCUUGACUGCAGGUUGCUUGCAGCUGCCUUCAGGAACAUCUGAGUAUACCCACCUGGACCUACUCACUUCAGCUGUCUUUUAUCUCCCCCGUUUUAUUUCUCUGCCUCUGUCAAGACUUGUCACUUUCACCAUUUCCCCAGAAAAGAGGUUUAAAGCAAAGAAACUGACCUGAAAUAUGACAUGAUUUUUCCAACCCAUCCAUUCUCCAAGAAAAGCUUCAGUGUUUCACUUCAUGAGUUCCCCCUUCCACCAUAAAACAUGGUAACCUGCCUCUAUUAAACAGCAUUUCAAUGAGACAGACCCCUAAUAUCUCAACAGCCUAAAAAGCUUUACUCAGAAUCAGGUGCAAAGCCUGGUCUCAAACCGACGCUGCCUGUGCUUCAUAGAAGCCAGGAGACACCCCACACCUUAGGCCAUCCUCCCAGCGACUUAUGGAAUCAUCUACCCUGAGUUUAUUUUGUCCUCUCUGAACUAUGCCAAUCCAGUAUUUCCCCCAGACCUGACCUUUCUUAACCAAAUCCACUAAACAUACGUUUUAUCACUCAAAUUGCGACACUUUGAGAGUGAAAAUAGGGUGUUACUGACAGUCAUGCCAAGACAACAGCCUUGAGCAAACUGGGAUGUAAGUUGCCCUGUCCUUACAAAGGAGAGAGGCCAGGUAAG
Molecule: long non-coding RNA, 1234 nt
Filed under: Capra hircus (goat)
Lineage: Eukaryota; Metazoa; Chordata; Mammalia; Artiodactyla; Bovidae
Description: lncRNA (ENSCHIG00010022158.1)
Source: RNAcentral